ACUGCAGUAGUGAAAAUGAAGCGCACGAUGGGCGGAAGCUGUGAGUCCGGCAAAGUUUUAAAAUGAUGACGUAUUUUAUUAACUCUAACGGCACUGGCGGGUGACUGAAAAUACUAGUGCUGUGUAUGCGGGAUAGACAUUAUUUUCCUGCCCUACAUGAGGGGCUCGUGCGCGGAACGACAUGGGCAGCCCCGGCGGAAACUGCAGGCACAAGCCGGGACGCCGCGGGUUUAAAACAUGCGCGUGAGAGGAAGACAAACAUAAAGAUGAAGUGCUUAAUUCAAGGUCACACAAUGUCGGGGAUGGACCUCCAGAUUUCCUUACUGGUGAGACGUGGUCUUGUAACACAGUGGUUAAGAAUGUGACUUUGGAGCCAGCCUGCUAGGGGCUGAAUUCUGACUCAGCCAUUUACUAACUGUGUGACCUUAGGGGACCAGAUGUGCAGAGGUAAUGAAUACCAGGGAAUCAGGAAACCACUGGAUCAGUUCUUUGAGCCACAGAACAACACUCAUCCCAGCAGCUGGGAAGCUAUCUGCAAAAGU
Long non-coding RNA from Homo sapiens (human), 542 nucleotides. Ensembl annotates it as PCBP1 antisense RNA 1. Its record names the gene PCBP1-AS1. The record is from Ensembl. NCBI's taxonomy places the organism in Eukaryota, Metazoa, Chordata, Mammalia, Primates, Hominidae.